GUCGAAUGACUUGGAAAAGUCAGUCAAAGAGGGUAAAAACCCCGUAGACGAAAUGUGGAAGACACCUAGGAGGAUCCUGAGUACGGCGGAACACGAGAAAUUCCGUCGGAAUCCGGGAGGACCAUCUCCCAAGGCUAAAUACUCCCUAGUGACCGAUAGUGAACCAGUACCGUGAGGGAAAGGUGAAAAGCACCCCGGAAGGGGAGUGAAAUAGAACCUGAAACCGUGUGCCUACAACAAGUCAAAGCCCGUUAAUGGGUGAUGGCGUGCCUUUUGUAGAAUGAACCGGCGAGUUACGAUUGCAUGCGAGGUUAAGUUGAAGAGACGGAGCCGCAGCGAAAGCGAGUCUGAAUAGGGCGUUUGAGUAUGUAGUCGUAGACCCGAAACCAUGUGAUCUACCCAUGUCCAGGUUGAAGGUGCGGUAAAACGCACUGGAGGACCGAACCCACGUACGUUGAAAAGUGCGGGGAUGAGGUGUGGGUAGCGGAGAAAUUCCAAACGAACUUGGAGAUAGCUGGUUCUCUCCGAAAUAGCUUUAGGGCUAGCCUCGGAAUUGAGAAUGAUGGAGGUAGAGCACUGUUUGGACUAGGGGCCCAUCUCGGGUUACCGAAUUCAGAUAAACUCCGAAUGCCAUUCAUUCAUAUCCGGGAGUCAGACUGUGAGUGAUAAGAUCCAUAGUCGAAAGGGAAACAGCCCAGACCACCAGCUAAGGUCCCAAAAUAUAUGUUAAGUGGAAAAGGAUGUGGGGUUGCACAGACAACUAGGAUGUUGGCUUAGAAGCAGCCACCAUUUAAAGAGUGCGUAAUAGCUCACUAGUCGAGUGACCCUGCGCCGAAAAUGUACCGGGGCUAAACAUAUUACCGAAGCUGUGGAGUACACCUUUAGGUGUAUUGGUAGGAGAGCGUUCUAAGGGCGUUGAAGGCAGAUCGUGAGGACUGCUGGAGCGCUUAGAAGUGAGAAUGCCGGUAUGAGUAGCGAAAGACAGGUGAGAAUCCUGUCCACCGAAUGACUAAGGUUUCCUGGGGAAGGCUCGUCCGCCCAGGGUUAGUCGGGACCUAAGCCGAGGCCGACAGGCGUAGGCGAUGGAUAACAGGUUGAUAUUCCUGUACCCGUUGUUUUUGUUUGAGCAAUGGAGGGACGCAGGAGGCUAAGGAAUGCAGACGAUCGGAAAUGUCUGUCCAAGCAGUAAGUCUGAAGAGGAGUCAAAUGCUUCUUUUCUUAAGGACAAGCUGUGAUGGGGAGGGAAAUAAUAGUACCGAAGUUCCUGAUGUCACACUGCCGAGAAAAGCUUCUAGUGAGAAAACAGCGGCCCGUACCGCAAACCGACACAGGUAGUCGAGGAGAGAAUCCUAAGGUGAGCGAGAGAACUCUCGUUAAGGAACUCGGCAAAAUGACCCCGUAACUUCGGGAGAAGGGGUGCUGAUCAUACGAUCAGCCGCAGUGAAUAGGCCCAAGCGACUGUUUAUCAAAAACACAGGUCUCUGCAAAAUCGUAAGAUGAAGUAUAGGGGCUGACGCCUGCCCGGUGCUGGAAGGUUAAGAGGAGUGCUUAGCGCAAGCGAAGGUACGAAUUGAAGCCCCAGUAAACGGCGGCCGUAACUAUAACGGUCCUAAGGUAGCGAAAUUCCUUGUCGGGUAAGUUCCGACCCGCACGAAAGGCGUAACGAUUUGGGCACUGUCUCAACGAGAGACUCGGUGAAAUUUUAGUACCUGUGAAGAUGCAGGUUACCCGCGACAGGACGGAAAGACCCCAUGGAGCUUUACUGUAGUUUGAUAUUGAGUGUCUGUACCGCAUGUACAGGAUAGGUAGGAGCCGUAGAAAUCGGAACGCUAGUUUCGAUGGAGGCGCUGGUGGGAUACUACCCCUGCGUUAUG
Molecule: ribosomal RNA, 1874 nt
Filed under: Enterococcus faecium
Lineage: Bacteria; Bacillati; Bacillota; Bacilli; Lactobacillales; Enterococcaceae
Description: partial 23S ribosomal RNA
Rfam family: Bacterial large subunit ribosomal RNA
Source: RNAcentral